Molecule: ribosomal RNA, 253 nt
Filed under: uncultured bacterium
Lineage: Bacteria
Description: partial 16S ribosomal RNA
Rfam family: Bacterial small subunit ribosomal RNA
Source: RNAcentral
UACGUAGGGUGCGAGCGUUGUCCGGAAUUAUUGGGCGUAAAGGGCUCGUAGGCGGUUUGUCACGUCAGGAGUGGAAACUCGGGGCUCAACCCCGAGCCUGCUUCUGAUACGGGCAGACUGGAGGUAUGCAGGGGAGAACGGAAUUCCUGGUGUAGCGGUGAAAUGCGCAGAUAUCAGGAGGAACACCGGUGGCGAAGGCGGUUCUCUGGGCAUUACCUGACGCUGAGGAGCGAAAGUGUGGGGAGCGAACAGG